GUUAUCCAGAGUUAUCGUAUUUAUAUUUUUACCACUGGGAGAAAGGGUGCAUCUGACUAUCAAAAUCUAUUGCUACUAUCCCUUUAGGCUACAAAGAAUGUUUCUCGAUGUGAGUGAUGUAUAGAGAAGACUGCAACCGUAGUCUCGUUCUAACCUUGGUAAGGAUGAUCUACUGUUCUAUUGGGGAAGCUUACGGAAUCUAGACACCACAAAGGAUGUUCAACCCGCACCUAUAAACCGUACCCGUCCUGCUAACAAGAUAUGGGAUACAAAGGUAACUCGGAAAUGUCACGUUCCUCGCUACUACCACGGUCCAGCUAGUCAGGGGAUAUCUAUGAGUACCCUAGCCUAAACACCACAUUUACGCU
RNAcentral lists this long non-coding RNA (368 nucleotides) under Sorghum bicolor (sorghum). RNAcentral describes it as "long non-coding RNA (SBIC_LNC002196)". The record is from RNAcentral. Lineage: Eukaryota; Viridiplantae; Streptophyta; Magnoliopsida; Poales; Poaceae.